UUUCCGUAGGUGAACCUGCGGAAGGAUCAUUAACGAGUAAGGGUCAUUCUGGCGCGACCUCUAACCCUUUGUUUAAUUACAAUGUUGGUUUGGCGGGCCCGUUUCACGAAGGCCGGAAGGCCUCGGACGUCUCGCCCGUGCCCGCCAAGAGCCUUCUACAAACUCUUGAUAAAAUGUGAUGUCUGGGUAAUAAAUUCAAUAGUUAAAACUUUGAACAACGGAUCUCUUGGUUCUG
Molecule: unclassified non-coding RNA, 235 nt
Filed under: plant metagenome
Description: partial contains small subunit ribosomal RNA, internal transcribed spacer 1, and 5.8S ribosomal RNA
Source: RNAcentral